CGGGCGUGGGGCGGAGAGGGUGCGGGACCCGGGCCGACCCCUCACCGCCGGCUUCUCCAGGUCUGAGUACAACGCCUUCUGGAAAUGCGUCCAGGCCGGGGUCACCUACCUCUUUGUGCAGCUAUGUAAGGUGAGGGACUCCGGGACUCCGGGACUCCACGUGUCUAGUCUCCAGGCAUUCCAGAUCUCAGGGACCCGACUCUGCCUCUGUCACCUUCCAUAGGACCACCCUCGAGACAACACUUAGGGAGUAUGCACGAAUACCUUAGAAGGGAUGCAAGCCCUGAUGCAACUUUUUCUUAGCACUGUUGUAAAAUGAGAAAACCUCUUAGAGCGAUAUUUCACCCACAAGGUGCCACUUGGUGCUGCCUAUGCUACGCAUGCAUUCACUUUGGCAUUUCUAGACAUCAGAUUCCCCCGUGAACUCCUAGACUUCUAGAAACCAGGCACCUGCCCUCUAUCUCCCCAGAUCUUGCGAUCUUGCCACUUACACCUAGAAUGACCCUCAGAACUCAGCACCGUGCCCUCUACUUGCACACUCACUUUCCACAAUAUCCAUGUAAUUUUGUUUUUAAUCUCCCUCACCUUCCGGUGACCUUUCUACUUUCUGAUCUCAGAUGUUGUUCUUGGCCACUUUCUUCCCCACCUGGGAAGGGGGCAUCUAUGACUUCAUUGGGGUAAGUCGAACAAGGGAGGGGAGAGGGAGUGCAGGAGUGGGUUUUCCUGGGCCCUGUGUUUACUCGAGCCUCUACCUGACCCACAGGAAUUCAUGAAGGCCAGUGUGGAUGUGGCAGACCUGAUAGGCCUAAACCUUGUCAUGUCCCGGAAUGCAGGCAAGGGGGAGUACAAGAUCAUGGUUGCUGCCCUGGGCUGGGCCACUGCUGAACUCAUUAUG
This 895-nucleotide long non-coding RNA is filed under the name Rattus norvegicus (Norway rat). RNAcentral's name for it is "long non-coding RNA NONRATT002522". The record is from RNAcentral. Lineage: Eukaryota; Metazoa; Chordata; Mammalia; Rodentia; Muridae.